CUUGGCAAGGCACUGACAAAGGGCAGCAAGACCAGUGUGAGCCUUGGAGGGGGCUGGGACCAGGGCACACCAGGUGCCAGGACAUCCUGGGAGUGCUGGCUCAGGGACAGCAGUUCAGGAGGACUGACUGUGCCACCUCACUGGUCUUACGGGGAAACAUCACAUGGAGAUAAGUCCAGGUGCCCCAGGAGCAACUGAGCCUGCAGUUGUGAAGCUUUUUCUUCUUUUCUGAGAAAGCCUUCACUCCCUUCAGCUUCCUCAUGAGGCAAAGUGCAGCAGACACCCACCACACCUCCCUGCUUUGUCCUGCACUCUGGCUGUUUUGCCAGGUGCAGACCCAGGAUGUACUCAUGAGUGAUUUUCAGGUUGCUGUCUUAGGAACUGGGUGAAUAUCAGAACAAAUUCCAAGAAAACCUGGACAAUGCACAGGGGCCACCAGCCUUGUGAGCAGACACCGACACUUGCAGUGGAUGUAAUCAAGAGUAAAUUUUUAAAACUAAUAAAUGUCUAAAUGAAUACAA
Molecule: long non-coding RNA, 521 nt
Organism: Passer domesticus (house sparrow)
Lineage: Eukaryota; Metazoa; Chordata; Aves; Passeriformes; Passeridae
Exons: 3
Source: RefSeq, a predicted model, not a curated record